UACGCGCGAUCGCCUUGAGUUUGAUAUGGCUCAGAACGAACGCCAGCGGCGUGGAUUAGGCAUGCAAGUCGAACGGAGACCGUAGCAAUACGGUCUUAGUGGCGGAAGGGUGAGUAAUGCAUAGAUAACCUGCCCCCGAGACCGGGAUAACUUCGGGAAACCGAAGCUAAGACCGGAUGGGGUCGCUGGAUCGCAUGGUUCGGCGACUAAAGGAGGCCUCUGAAUAUGCUCCCACUCGGGGAGGGAUCUAUGUCCUAUCAGCUAGUUGGUGCGGGUAACGGCCCACCAAGGCAUUGACGGGUAGCCGGCCUUAGCGGGUGUCCGGCCACAUUGGGACUGAGACACUGCCCAAACUCCUACGGGAGGCUGCAGUCGAGGAUCUUCCGCAAUGGGCGCAAGCCUGACGGAGCGACGCCGCGUGUGGGAUGAAGGCCUUCGGGUUGUAAACCACUGUCACUCGUUAAGAAAGGGUUGGGGGUUAACAGCCUCCAGCACUGACUAAGGCGAGAGAGGAAGCCACGGCUAACUUCGUGCCAGCAGCCGCGGUAAGACGAAGGUGGCGAGCGUUGUUCGGAAUCACUGGGCAUAAAGCGCACGUAGGUGGUGCCGUAAGUCGGAUGUGAAAUCCCUCGGCCUAACCGAGGAACUGCGUCCGAUACUGCGGUGCUUGAGGAUCAGAGGGGUGCAUGGAAUUUCCGGUGGAGCGGUGAAAUGCGUUGAUAUCGGAAGGAACUCCGGCGGCGAAAGCGAUGCACUGGCUGAA
RNAcentral lists this ribosomal RNA (763 nucleotides) under uncultured bacterium. RNAcentral describes it as "bacterial SSU rRNA". It matches the Rfam family "Bacterial small subunit ribosomal RNA", at positions 1 to 737 of the family's 1533-position model. The record is from RNAcentral.